RNAcentral lists this ribosomal RNA (254 nucleotides) under uncultured bacterium. Its description in RNAcentral is "partial 16S ribosomal RNA". It matches the Rfam family "Bacterial small subunit ribosomal RNA", at positions 524 to 776 of the family's 1533-position model. The record is from RNAcentral.
UACGUAGGCAGCAAGCGUUGUUCGGAGUUACUGGGCGUAAAGGGUGUGUAGGCGGUUGUUUAAGUUUGGUGUGAAAUCUCCCGGCUCAACUGGGAGGGUGCGCCGAAUACUGAAUGACUCGAGUGCGGGAGAGGAAAGUGGAAUUCCUGGUGUAGCGGUGAAAUGCGUAGAUAUCCGGAGGAGCACCGGUGGCGAAGGCGGCUUCCUGGACCGAUUACUGACGCUGAGGCGCGAAAGCUAGGGGAGCGAACGGG